This 253-nucleotide ribosomal RNA is filed under the name uncultured bacterium. RNAcentral describes it as "partial 16S ribosomal RNA". It matches the Rfam family "Bacterial small subunit ribosomal RNA", at positions 524 to 776 of the family's 1533-position model. The record is from RNAcentral.
UACAGAGGGGGCAAGCGUUGUUCGGAAUUACUGGGCGUAAAGCGUGCGCAGGCGGUUAUGCAAGACAGAGGUGAAAUCCCCGGGCUCAACCUGGGAACUGCCUUUGUGACUGCAUAGCUAGAGUACGGUAGAGGGGGAUGGAAUUCCGCGUGUAGCAGUGAAAUGCGUAGAUAUGCGGAGGAACACCGAUGGCGAAGGCAAUCCCCUGGACCUGUACUGACGCUCAUGCACGAAAGCGUGGGGAGCAAACAGG